Molecule: ribosomal RNA, 246 nt
Filed under: uncultured bacterium
Lineage: Bacteria
Description: partial 16S ribosomal RNA
Rfam family: Bacterial small subunit ribosomal RNA
Source: RNAcentral
UACGUAGGGUGCGAGCGUUGUCCGGAAUUAUUGGGCGUAAAGAGCUCGUAGGCGGUGUGUCGCGUCGGCCGUGAAAACCUGGGGCUUAACUCUGGGCGUGCGGUCGAUACGGGCAUCACUGGAGUUCGGCAGGGGAGACUGGAAUUCCUGGUGUAGCGGUGAAAUGCGCAGAUAUCAGGAGGAACACCGGUGGCGAAGGCGGGAUCUCUGGGCCGAUACUGACGCUGAGGAGCGAAAGCAUGGGUA